AGAGUUUGAUCAUGGCUCAGAUUGAACGCUGGCGGCAGGCCUAACACAUGCAAGUCGAACGGUAACAGGAAGCAGCUUGCUGCUUUGCUGACGAGUGGCGGACGGGUGAGUAAUGUCUGGGAAACUGCCCGAUGGAGGGGGAUAACUACUGGAAACGGUAGCUAAUACCGCAUAACGUCGCAAGACCAAAGAGGGGGACCUUAGGGCCUCUUGCCAUCGGAUGUGCCCAGAUGGGAUUAGCUAGUAGGUGGGGUAAAGGCUCACCUAGGCGACGAUCCCUAGCUGGUCUGAGAGGAUGACCAGCCACACUGGAACUGAGACACGGUCCAGACUCCUACGGGAGGCAGCAGUGGGGAAUAUUGCACAAUGGGCGCAAGCCUGAUGCAGCCAUGCCGCGUGUAUGAAGAAGGCCUUCGGGUUGUAAAGUACUUUCAGCGGGGAGGAAGGGAGUAAAGUUAAUACCUUUGCUCAUUGACGUUACCCGCAGAAGAAGCACCGGCUAACUCCGUGCCAGCAGCCGCGGUAAUACGGAGGGUGCAAGCGUUAAUCGGAAUUACUGGGCGUAAAGCGCACGCAGGCGGUUUGUUAAGUCAGAUGUGAAAUCCCCGGGCUCAACCUGGGAACUGCAUCUGAUACUGGCAAGCUUGAGUCUCGUAGAGGGGGGUAGAAUUCCAGGUGUAGCGGUGAAAUGCGUAGAGAUCUGGAGGAAUACCGGUGGCGAAGGCGGCCCCCUGGACGAAGACUGACGCUCAGGUGCGAAAGCGUGGGGAGCAAACAGGAUUAGAUACCCUGGUAGUCCACGCCGUAAACGAUGUCGACUUGGAGGUUGUGCCCUUGAGGCGUGGCUUCCGGAGCUAACGCGUUAAGUCGACCGCCUGGGGAGUACGGCCGCAAGGUUAAAACUCAAAUGAAUUGACGGGGGCCCGCACAAGCGGUGGAGCAUGUGGUUUAAUUCGAUGCAACGCGAAGAACCUUACCUGGUCUUGACAUCCACAGAACUUUCCAGAGAUGAAAAGGUGCCUUCGGGAACCGUGAGACAGGUGCUGCAUGGCUGUCGUCAGCUCGUGUUGUGAAAUGUUGGGUUAAGUCCCGCAACGAGCGCAACCCUUAUCCUUUGUUGCCAGCGGUCCGGCCGGGAACUCAAAGGAGACUGCCAGUGAUAAACUGGAGGAAGGUGGGGAUGACGUCAAGUCAUCAUGGCCCUUACGACCAGGGCUACACACGUGCUACAAUGGCGCAUACAAAGAGAAGCGACCUCGCGAGAGCAAGCGGACCUCAUAAAGUGCGUCGUAGUCCGGAUUGGAGUCUGCAACUCGACUCCAUGAAGUCGGAAUCGCUAGUAAUCGUGGAUCAGAAUGCCACGGUGAAUACGUUCCCGGGCCUUGUACACACCGCCCGUCACACCAUGGGAGUGGGUUGCAAAAGAAGUAGGUAGCUUAACCUUCGGGAGGGCGCUUACCACUUUGUGAUUCAUGACUGGGGUGAAGUCGUAACAAGGUAACCGUAGGGGAACCUGCGGUUGGAUCACCU
This 1530-nucleotide ribosomal RNA is filed under the name Escherichia coli. Its description in RNAcentral is "bacterial SSU rRNA". It matches the Rfam family "Bacterial small subunit ribosomal RNA". The record is from RNAcentral. Lineage: Bacteria; Pseudomonadati; Pseudomonadota; Gammaproteobacteria; Enterobacterales; Enterobacteriaceae.